This 273-nucleotide unclassified non-coding RNA is filed under the name Hevea brasiliensis (rubber tree). The record is from RNAcentral. Lineage: Eukaryota; Viridiplantae; Streptophyta; Magnoliopsida; Malpighiales; Euphorbiaceae.
CAGCUGCUCUACCUCUACCCACUCAAAUUCAAAGCAUGAUUGCAUAGCCUCAUUAACUACAGAUUACAGAGACCGUUGACUGAAUUUACUAUUCCAACUAUGGUUGAAUCUGUGUCAUUUUUAGGAAAUUCUGUACCUAUUGAAAAUGGUGUUAAUCAUGUUAAAUUGCUUCCUGCAUCUAAUGAUGAUCAUGGGGGUGUAAUAGUCGACAUGAAGGAGCCUGUGGAACCUGACAUCUUUCUUGCCAUGCUCAGAGCUUCAAUAUCACUGUGG